CAGUCGAGCGAACUGAUUAGAAGCUUGCUUCUAUGACGUUAGCGGCGGACGGGUGAGUAACACGUGGGCAACCUGCCUGUAAGACUGGGAUAACUUCGGGAAACCGAAGCUAAUACCGGAUAGGAUCUUCUCCUUCAUGGGAGAUGAUUGAAAGAUGGUUUCGGCUAUCACUUACAGAUGGGCCCGCGGUGCAUUAGCUAGUUGGUGAGGUAACGGCUCACCAAGGCAACGAUGCAUAGCCGACCUGAGAGGGUGAUCGGCCACACUGGGACUGAGACACGGCCCAGACUCCUACGGGAGGCAGCAGUAGGGAAUCUUCCGCAAUGGACGAAAGUCUGACGGAGCAACGCCGCGUGAGUGAUGAAGGCUUUCGGGUCGUAAAACUCUGUUGUUAGGGAAGAACAAGUACGAGAGUAACUGCUCGUACCUUGACGGUACCUAACCAGAAAGCCACGGCUAACUACGUGCCAGCAGCCGCGGUAAUACGUAGGUGGCAAGCGUUAUCCGGAAUUAUUGGGCGUAAAGCGCGCGCAGGCGGUUUCUUAAGUCUGAUGUGAAAGCCCACGGCUCAACCGUGGAGGGUCAUUGGAAACUGGGGAACUUGAGUGCAGAAGAGAAAAGCGGAAUUCCACGUGUAGCGGUGAAAUGCGUAGAGAUGUGGAGGAACACCAGUGGCGAAGGCGGCUUUUUGGUCUGUAACUGACGCUGAGGCGCGAAA
This 718-nucleotide ribosomal RNA is filed under the name Priestia aryabhattai. Its description in RNAcentral is "bacterial SSU rRNA". It matches the Rfam family "Bacterial small subunit ribosomal RNA", at positions 59 to 758 of the family's 1533-position model. Lineage: Bacteria; Bacillati; Bacillota; Bacilli; Caryophanales; Bacillaceae. The record is from RNAcentral.